Molecule: RNA transcript, 5498 nt
Organism: Homo sapiens (human)
Lineage: Eukaryota; Metazoa; Chordata; Mammalia; Primates; Hominidae
Gene: NDUFAF7
Gene name: NADH:ubiquinone oxidoreductase complex assembly factor 7
Exons: 11
Source: RefSeq, marked reviewed
GUCUAAGCCCCAGCUCCUGGCGGAGCGAGCUAGCCUGCGAAUUUCAGCAUGAGUGUACUGCUGAGGUCAGGUUUGGGGCCGUUGUGUGCCGUGGCGCGCGCAGCCAUUCCUUUUAUUUGGAGAGGGAAAUACUUCAGCUCCGGGAAUGAGCCUGCAGAAAACCCGGUGACGCCGAUGCUGCGGCAUCUUAUGUACAAAAUAAAGUCUACUGGUCCCAUCACUGUGGCCGAGUACAUGAAGGAGGUGUUGACUAAUCCAGCCAAGGGUUAUUAUGUGUACCGUGACAUGCUAGGCGAAAAAGGAGAUUUCAUUACUUCACCUGAAAUAAGUCAAAUCUUUGGGGAGCUACUAGGUAUAUGGUUCAUUAGUGAAUGGAUGGCCACUGGAAAAAGCACAGCUUUCCAGCUGGUGGAACUGGGCCCAGGUAGGGGAACCCUCGUGGGAGAUAUUUUGAGGGUGUUCACUCAACUUGGAUCUGUGCUGAAAAAUUGUGACAUUUCAGUACAUCUGGUAGAGGUAAGCCAAAAAUUAAGUGAGAUUCAAGCAUUGACACUGACUAAAGAGAAGGUCCCGUUAGAGCGAAAUGCUGGAUCCCCAGUGUAUAUGAAAGGUGUCACUAAGUCUGGGAUUCCAAUUUCCUGGUACCGAGAUCUGCACGAUGUUCCAAAAGGGUACAGCUUUUAUCUUGCACAUGAAUUUUUUGAUGUUCUUCCUGUGCAUAAAUUUCAGAAAACACCACAGGGAUGGCGAGAAGUAUUUGUUGACAUUGAUCCACAGGUUUCUGAUAAACUGAGGUUUGUUUUGGCACCUUCUGCCACCCCAGCAGAAGCCUUCAUACAACAUGACGAAACAAGGGAUCAUGUUGAAGUGUGUCCUGAUGCUGGUGUUAUCAUCGAGGAACUUUCUCAACGCAUUGCAUUAACUGGAGGUGCUGCACUGGUUGCUGAUUAUGGUCAUGAUGGAACAAAGACAGAUACCUUCAGAGGGUUUUGCGACCACAAGCUUCAUGAUGUCUUAAUUGCCCCAGGAACAGCAGAUCUAACAGCUGAUGUGGACUUCAGUUAUUUGCGAAGAAUGGCACAGGGAAAAGUAGCCUCUCUGGGCCCAAUAAAACAACACACAUUUUUAAAAAAUAUGGGUAUUGAUGUCCGGCUGAAGGUUCUUUUAGAUAAAUCAAAUGAGCCAUCAGUGAGGCAGCAGUUACUUCAAGGAUAUGAUAUGUUAAUGAAUCCAAAGAAGAUGGGAGAGAGAUUUAACUUUUUUGCCUUGCUACCUCAUCAGAGACUUCAAGGUGGAAGAUAUCAGAGGAAUGCACGUCAGUCAAAACCCUUUGCAUCCGUUGUAGCUGGGUUUAGUGAACUUGCUUGGCAGUGAUAUUUCAGCUUGGACAUUUUACCCUUCAGUCGGCCCAAGAAAUCAAAAUAAAGGAAACACAUUUCAUAUACUGCAGUGUCUUUGAAGAGUACGAAUACUGAGCCUGAAGAAAUACAAACUCUUUUUUUGUUGUUAAAUGCCAGAUUUCAGCUAACAUCUUGAUAAGGUAAAGAUGACUUGGAAGUUUGGCAACUGAUUAAAGAAGUGGAGCCAUGGCUAACACUUGAGCAUAAAAAGCGUAUCAAGUAAAUCACAUUAUUUUCCCUUUGCUUCUCAUUGGAACACUGUGGAUCACUAAAAUAGAGGUCAGAAAGUGGGAGUUUUAAUGUUACCAGUAGGAGUGUGCAUCUUUUGUCUACUAUUUUGAAGAUCAAAUGAGAUAAUAUAUGGAAGCAGUUUAUUUAAAACAUUGCACCAACUAUCAGGCAACCCUUUCGACCUCAAAAUGAUAGGGAAUCACUUUUAACCACAUAAACAUAAAAAGAAUAUGAUUACUACUUUAAAAGCUGAACGAUUUUUAAUAUAUCUUUUUAUUUGAAAAGACAAUUUGAGUUAUAUUUACCAAGUGAAAACACCUAUCUGUUGUCCUUAGUCUUGCCAUUUGUCUAAAUGUACAUGUUUCAAAUGUAUAUAAACAAUAGUUUGGCAACAGAUAUUUGAGCUGAUCGGAGGAAUCAUCCUUGCCAAUUAUGGAAAAUGGCUGCAGGGUACCACCACCACCACUUAUUUCUCAGGAUGGUUGUUUCAGAAUUUGGGUUAUGAUCCAUUUCAUAGGUCAUGCAAUAAAUUUAGUGGAUCAAGAUGAACACUUGGAAAAAAAAAAAACUCAACUGAAUUAAGAAAAAUCAGAGAGUGCUACAUGUAGCCAGGACACAGAAGCACGAUGCCAUUGUGUGUAUGUGUGGUGAUGAGAAAUGUUAUUUUAUGUAGGUUGUUUGAAUACAAUACUCUACAUAGAAAAAGGAGGUGGCUGCCUGCCUCAACCAAAAUCUAUCUCCCAUUUCCAGUAACACCCCAUUUGUUUUAUUUAUGAGGUAUUUAUCCUAAGUACCAUGCACCAACCAAGGUUGAUACUUGCUCACUUCGUUCCCAGCCCCUGGGGAGAGGUGAAUUGCAGAAUCUAUGUGCAGUUAAAUCUUAAAAAAUCUUGAAUAUAAACAGUAUAACUAAUAACAUCUGAAUUCAUUUAGUUAUUAAUCCUCACUGGUAGUUACAGGCUAAAAACUAUUUUUGUAAGGUGGUAUGCAUUUUUAACCAACAGUACUUAGUACACUGCCUUUUAUUAUGUGGGUGCUUUGAAAAUGUUGCCAGAAUCAUUUAAAAGGUUCUGGAGAAUAUCUCACCUGAGGAAAUGGCUCUGCUGAUGCAAGCAGCACAUUUUCUGGCUUUAAAUCACAGUGCACAAUAUUCUUAAAAUGCAGAUUCCUCAAAGCAACAAGUAUCUGUUAUGAAAAAAGAUUUUCUUUUCAAUGUCUGGAAAAUCACAAGUAAACCUCAUGUGACUCCUUGAAUGAUUUAAUUUGAAAACUCCACUAUAGUUCAUCAAGACUUAGCUAAAAGUGUGUUAUUCUGCUCCUUAAGGUUAACAAUUCCCACAAUCACCCAACAUGUAAAAGUACUGCUAUUUAAUUAUUUUAGUUUUUAGCUGGAUACAGUGGCUCAUGCCUGUAAUCCCAGCACUUUGGGAGACCUAGGCAGGUGGAUCACUUGAGGCAAGGAGUUCGAGACCAGCCUGGCCAACACGGUGAAACCCCAGCUCUACUAAAAAUACAAAAAUUAGCCAGGCGUGGUGGCACACAUCUGCAAUCCUAGAUACUUGGGAGGCUGAGGCAUGAGAAUCACUUGAAUCCAGGAGGCAGAGGUUGCAGUGAGCCAGAUUGCACCACUGCACUCCAGCCCAGGUGACAGAGUAAGACUCUUGUCUUAAAAAAAAAAAAAUUAGUUUUUAAUCGCUAGUUUAAAAAAAAAAAGGAGUUAAAAUACCUGUGUGACCAUGAAUUUAGUAAUUCGUUCUGGAAGCCGACUUUUCUCACUGGAUAGAAUCAUUUCCAACAUAUCUCCAUGCAGCUUUUCCAUUACUACAAAGACUCGUUCUGGGGUUUCAAACAUACAUUCCAGGUUUACAAUCCCAGGAUGGUGCAAAUUCUGAAGAGAGGUUGCAAGAUACAUGAGCAACUUAAGCAGAGAAACAGUUUUACUAAUAUCUAGAUGUGCUAUGAUUGUCUGAAAUGGCACAGAAAGAAAGCCUAGAGAAGUAAACAAAGCAAACAAAAUAAAAAUUACAAUCAAUGAAAAGGAUCUUAGGUUUUAAUUCUCCAAGUUGUGUACUGGAGAGUAGCCGCACUGAGGGGAUAGAAUGUUCUCCUAAUUUGAUUAUAUAAUCACUCUUGUCCAUUACUACUACUUUUCCUUCCUUCUCACUUGAAAAAUCUGACACUGCUCUAAUUUCAUGCUUUCCCUGAAUAGGCACCAACUGCCCAUAAAUUUUUAGUCAAUUACACAGAAACCUUUGACUCUUGGGGGCUGUAUUUGUGAUGGUAUUUGCUUAAGAGUUUUAUUUCUAAGGUAGUUAUUUAUCUAAGUCUUGAUUCUUAUAAUAUUAUAAUCAUUAAUUCCCUUUUUUUAGGCUCAACAUCUCUACCCACAUUAUCAUGUUUCUUGAUCACAACUAGGUUACAAGGGUUGGAGAUACACAAAGAUGAAUGCCAUACUAUUUAUGCUUAUAAAAAAGCAAUUUAUCUUUUGUUCUACUACAGAAAAUCCUUCCUCAAAAACAAAUUCAUGAAGUCAGCCUUGCUCAAACACCUUCAGUGGCUCUUUAUUUCUGGACAUAAAUCUAAAUUCCUUUGUCAACAUUUUGAGAUCUUCAAUAACCUGGUUUCAGUCUUCCAAUUUAAUCUUAAAUAUGUUCUACUGAAUGAACCAAGUGCUUAAACAAUUUUUAUUCCUUAUUAAUAAAGAUACAGGCUGGGUGUGGUGGCUCACGCCUGUAAUCCCAGCACUUUGGGAAGCCGAGGCAGGUGGAUCAUUUGAGGUCAGGAGUUCGAGACCAGCGUAGCAAACACGGUGAAAUCCUGUCUCUACCAAAAAUACAAAAACUAACCAGGUGUGGUGACAGGUAUCUGUAAACCCAGCUACUCGGGAGGCUGAGGCAGGAGAAUCACUUGAACCUGGGAGGUGGAGGCUGCAGUGAGCCGAGAUCAUGCCAUUGCACUCCAGCCUGGGAGACAGAGCGAGACUUUGUCUCAAAUAAAAAAAAGGCCGGGCGCGGUGGCUCACGCCUGUAAUCCCAACAUUUUGCGAGGCCAAGGCAGGCGGAUCACCUGAGAUCGGGAGUUCGAGACCAGCCUGACCAACAUGGAGAAACCUAGUCUCUACUAAAAAUACAAAAUUAGCCGGGUGUGGUGGCGCAAGCCUGUAAUCCCAGCUACUCGGGAGGCUGAGGCAGGAGAAUUGCUUGAACCUGGGAGGCAGAGGUUGCGGUGAGCUGAGAUUGCGCCAUUGCACUCUAGCCUGGGCAACAAGAGCAAAACUCUAUCUCAAAAACAAAAAAACCCAGACGGUCCCCAACUUAACAAUGGUUCAACUUACAAUUUUUCAACUGUAGAAUGGUACAAAAGUGGUAUGCAUUCAUUCAGUAAAAAACGUAUUUUGAAUACCUGCACAACCAUUCCGUUUUUUUGAGUAUUCAUAAAUUACAUAAGAUAUUCAACACAUUAGUGUAAAAUGGUCUUUGUGUUAGAUGAUUUUGCCCAACUGUAGGCUAAUGUAAGCGACUGUGCUUAAGGUAGGCUACACGGGGCUAAGUUGUGUUCAGGAGGUAUUUUUAUCUACUUAGUUAUUUUCAAACUUAAGAUGGGUUUAUGGAGAUAUGACCCCGUCGCAAAAUGAGGAGCAUCCUGUACAUUUUUCUUUAGCUUUUUUCCUUAAUAUGGCUAGCUGAUUAUGCUAGGGGGACUCACAUGUUUUUGGCCUAUGUGAGGCUGAGUUCCAUGUCUAAGAUGUUUCUUGAAGCCUUAAUUUUAGCCCACAUUCUCUCUCUUUGGGACUACUGCAAUAGUUUCCACUGUAUUGUAAUAAUGUGUGUAUUCUACUCCAUUGUUUAAUAAACUCUCUGAGGCACA